CAGUCGCCGCGGUAAUACGAAGGGUGCAAGCGUUACUCGGAAUUACUGGGCGUAAAGCGUGUGUAGGUGGUGGUUUAAGUCCGUUGUGAAAGCCCUGGGCUCAACCUGGGAAUUGCAGUGGAUACUGGGUCACUAGAGUGUGGUAGAGGAUAGUGGAAUUUCCGGUGUAGCAGUGAAAUGCGUAGAGAUCGGAAGGAACAUCUGUGGCGAAGGCGACUAUCUGGGCCAACACUGACACUGAGGCACGAAAGCGUGGGGAGCAAACAGGAUUAGAUACCCCAGUAGUCCCUGUCUCUUAUAA
This 301-nucleotide ribosomal RNA is filed under the name uncultured bacterium. Its description in RNAcentral is "partial 16S ribosomal RNA". It matches the Rfam family "Bacterial small subunit ribosomal RNA", at positions 509 to 809 of the family's 1533-position model. The record is from RNAcentral.